This 254-nucleotide ribosomal RNA is filed under the name uncultured bacterium. RNAcentral describes it as "partial 16S ribosomal RNA". It matches the Rfam family "Bacterial small subunit ribosomal RNA", at positions 524 to 776 of the family's 1533-position model. The record is from RNAcentral.
UACGUAGGGGGCGAGCGUUGUCCGGAUUUAUUGGGCGUAAAGAGCUCGUAGGUGGUUUGAUAAGUCGGAUGUGAAAUCUCCAGGCUCAACCUGGAGCUGCCAUUCGAUACUGUCAUGACUUGAGUCCGGUAGGGGACCACGGAAUUCCUGGUGUAGCGGUGAAAUGCGCAGAUAUCAGGAGGAACACCGGUGGCGAAGGCGGUGGUCUGGGCCGGAACUGACGCUGAGGAGCGAAAGCGUGGGUAGCAAACAGG